GAUGAAGAACGUAGUGAAAUGCGAUAAUUAAUGUGAAUUGCAGAAUUCAGUGAAUCAUCGAGUCUUUGAACGCACAUUGCGCCCCCUGGUAUUCCGGGGGGCAUGCCUGUCCGAGCGUCAUUGCUGCCCUCAAGCACGGCUUGUGUGUUGGGCUUCCGUCCCUGGCAACGGGGACGGGCCCAAAAGGCAGUGGCGGCACCAUGUCUGGUCCUCGAGCGUAUGGGGCUUUGUCACCCGCUCCCGUAGGUCCAGCUGGCAGCUAGCCUCGCAACCAAUCUUUUUAACCAGGUUGACCUCGGAUCAGGUAGGGUUACCCGCUGAACUUAAGCAUAUCAAUAAGCGGAGGA
Molecule: unclassified non-coding RNA, 347 nt
Filed under: soil metagenome
Description: partial contains 5.8S ribosomal RNA, internal transcribed spacer 2, and large subunit ribosomal RNA
Rfam family: 5.8S ribosomal RNA (bases 1-120)
Source: RNAcentral